This 66-nucleotide transfer RNA is filed under the name Cyclopsetta fimbriata (spotfin flounder). RNAcentral describes it as "tRNA-Cys". It matches the Rfam family "tRNA". Rfam says of the family: Transfer RNA (tRNA) molecules are approximately 80 nucleotides in length. Lineage: Eukaryota; Metazoa; Chordata; Actinopteri; Pleuronectiformes; Cyclopsettidae. The record is from RNAcentral.
AGCUCCGGGGUGUAAACACGUAAGAUUGCAAAUCUUAAGAAGCAGGCUAGUCACCUGCCGGGGCUU